ACAGCUCAAAUUUGAAAUCUGGCCCUCGGGUCCGAAUUGUAAUUUGUAGAGGAUGAUUUUGGUGCGGUAUCUUCCGAGUUCCUUGGAACAGGACGCCUUAGAGGGUGAGAGCCCCGUACGGUUGAAUGCCUAGCCUCUGUAAAUCUCCUUCGACGAGUCGAGUAGUUUGGGAAUGCUGCUCUAAAUGGGAGGUAAAUUUCUUCUAAAGCUAAAUAUUGGCCAGAGACCGAUAGCGCACAAGUAGAGUGAUCGAAAGAUGAAAAGCACUUUGAAAAGAGGGUUAAAUAGCACGUGAAAUUGUUGAAAGGGAAGGAUUUGUGACCAGACUUUUUCUGGGCGGAUCAUCCGGGGUUCUCUCCGGUGCACUUUGCCCAGUAAAGGCCAGCAUCGAUUUUCGGCGGCGGAUAAAAGCAGUGGGAAUGUGGCUCCCUACGGGGAGUGUUAUAGCCCAUUGUAUAAUACGCUGCUGGGGAUCGAGGUACGCGCUUCUGCAAGGAUGCUGGCGUAAUGGUUAUCAAUCACCCGUCUUG
Molecule: ribosomal RNA, 530 nt
Filed under: fungal endophyte sp. DM218
Lineage: Eukaryota; Fungi
Description: eukaryotic LSU rRNA
Rfam family: Eukaryotic large subunit ribosomal RNA
Source: RNAcentral